AACGUAGGUGGCAAGCGUUAUCCGGAUUUACUGGGCGUAAAGCAUGUGCAGACGGGUUGGUAAGUGGUGUAUGAAAGCGUCCGGCUUAACCGGGAAAGCGUAGGCCAGACUGCCAGUCUUGAGAUUGGGAGAGGGAUGCGGAAUUCCAGGUGUAGCGGUGAAAUGCGUAGAUAUCUGGAGGAACACCGGUGGCGAAGGCGGCAUCCUGGACCAACACUGACGCUGAGUGAGCGAAAGCCAGGGGAGCAAACGGG
Molecule: ribosomal RNA, 254 nt
Filed under: uncultured bacterium
Lineage: Bacteria
Description: partial 16S ribosomal RNA
Rfam family: Bacterial small subunit ribosomal RNA
Source: RNAcentral